AAGGGAAAUUCAUCUGUAGCAUCUCUUACUCCAUUGAUUGCCAGGGUCGAUUCAGCUGAUCUGACUGUCUAGGUGAUUGUUCCCUCCCUCUUUCACUACUCCAUGUAUAUCCCUCCUGAAACUGCAUGCUUGGUCAAAGAUGACCACCUUCUCUGAUAGAAAGGACAAUUCAUCUGUGAAAGAUUUAUUAGUAGCUGAACUCUCCUACUAGGACCUCCAAUCAAGCUCUUUCUUUCUCCUAAUUUGGGGUUUGGAUUAUUCUUAUUUAUCUAAGACUUUGGUGUUCAUCAUUAGGUUAUUUAUUUGAGAUAUCUGUGA
Molecule: small nuclear RNA, 318 nt
Filed under: Castor canadensis (American beaver)
Lineage: Eukaryota; Metazoa; Chordata; Mammalia; Rodentia; Castoridae
Description: 7SK RNA (ENSCCNG00000006686.1)
Rfam family: 7SK RNA
About the family: 7SK was discovered as an abundant small nuclear RNA in the mid-70s but a possible function has only recently been suggested. Two independent studies have found that 7SK RNA binds the CDK9/cyclin T complex (known as elongation factor P-TEFb). P-TEFb activates transcription by phosphorylating the C-terminal domain of RNA polymerase II.
Source: RNAcentral